GUAGUCCACGCCGUAAACGAUGAAUGCCAGCCGUUAGUGGGUUUACUCACUAGUGGCGCAGCUAACGCUUUAAGCAUUCCGCCUGGGGAGUACGGUCGCAAGAUUAAAACUCAAAGGAGUUGACGGGGGCCCGCACAAGCGGUGGAGCAUGUGGUUUAAUUCGACGCAACGCGCAGAACCUUACCAGCCCUUGACAUCCCGGUCGCGGACUCCAGAGACGGAGUUCUUCAGUUCGGCUGGACCGGAGACAGGUGCUGCAUGGCUGUCGUCAGCUCGUGUCGUGAGAUGUUGGGUUAAGUCCCGCAACGAGCGCAACCCCCGUCCUUAGUUGCUACCAUUUAGUUGAGCACUCUAAGGAGACUGCCGGUGAUAAGCCGCGAGGAAGGUGGGGAUGACGUCAAGUCCUCAUGGCCCUUACGGGCUGGGCUACACACGUGCUACAAUGGCGGCGACAAUGGGAUGCAAAGGCGCAAGCCCCAGCAAAUCUCAAAAAGCCGUCUCAGUUCGGAUUGGGCUCUGCAACUCGAGCCCAUGAAGUUGGAAUCGCUAGUAAUCGUGGAUCAGCAUGCCACGGUGAAUACGUUCCCGGGCCUUGUACACACCGCCCGUCACACCAUGGGAGUUGGUUUUACCCGAAGGCGCUGUGCUAACCGCAAGGAGGCAGGCGACCACGGUAGGGUCAGCGACUGGGGUG
RNAcentral lists this ribosomal RNA (694 nucleotides) under uncultured bacterium. RNAcentral describes it as "bacterial SSU rRNA". It matches the Rfam family "Bacterial small subunit ribosomal RNA", at positions 790 to 1482 of the family's 1533-position model. The record is from RNAcentral.